UACGUAGGGUGCGAGCGUUGUCCGGAAUUAUUGGGCGUAAAGAGCUCGUAGGCGGUUUGUCGCGUCGGCCGUGAAAACUUGGGGCUUAACUCCAAGCUUGCGGUCGAUACGGGCAGACUUGAGUUCGGCAGGGGAGACUGGAAUUCCUGGUGUAGCGGUGAAAUGCGCAGAUAUCAGGAGGAACACCUAUAGCGAAGGCAGCUCGCUGGGACGACACUGACGCUGAGACGCGAAAGCGUGGGGAGCGAACAGG
RNAcentral lists this ribosomal RNA (253 nucleotides) under uncultured bacterium. RNAcentral's name for it is "partial 16S ribosomal RNA". It matches the Rfam family "Bacterial small subunit ribosomal RNA", at positions 524 to 776 of the family's 1533-position model. The record is from RNAcentral.